AUAAAUUAGUAAUUAUCGACAGAGGAUUUGCUCAGAAAUCGUUCGAAAUACAAGAAUUAUAAUGUUGACAAAAGUGAUUUGACUCGUUCUCGCAUGGCUGAUAUCUCGGCAUGAUCGAAUGAUUGGCGAAAAUCAGGAGUUUUCAUCAACAUCUCUCCAGUCAAUGGUUCCUAGAAAAUGGUAUUAGAACUAUGUUCUUAUUCCAGAUGGCGACUUUCCUAGUGAAUGAUUUUGCACACUCCCAAAGUUCCCUGAUAUGAAUAAGACAAAGCAUACAUGUACAGUAUGUAAAAAGGAGACAAAAUGAAUUAUGGUGAAUGCCAGAUUAGUAAUGACCAGAGUGACCUGAAAAAUAUUUUAUGAUUGUAUAAUUGUUGUAUUUUGAUUGCAGUUGCAUUAUUAUAUAUUUAAGUUACAGAUACAAAUACAACAGAUACAAAUUGACACACCUGUCAUUUCUGGGAACCUUUUUUUCAGCUCCAUUUGCUGUUGUGAUGGUUUUAUGGGUAGAUGACCUGAGCUUGGUACAGAAAUAGCUUGACAAUGCAAUGGUGGAUUGUUUCACAUUUUCAUCAGCAUAUUCAAAUUUGAGAAAAGCUUCAAUAAUGAGGUCGCUGACAAGACAGCCUGGAUUUAAACAUUGAAGUUCAGCUGGAAUCAGGAGAUUUCUGUACAUGUUUCUCCAGUUAUCAGAUGUGGCAUGUAGACAUGAGUGGAAAUUCUGUUGCUCUUCUUGUUCUCCAUCCUCUAUCGUUACUACUGGAACAUUGACCUUGUACAUUUUCUUUAGCAUAUUUGCCCUUGUACCAACGCGAUUUCGAUGCCACCAAUCCAACCGUUUUUUUCCUGUUUUUUUCAUCUUUGCUAUGCAACCGAUAUUCUUUAACUUUUCCAUUUUUCGUUUACUGUUUUCCUUUCUUGACUUUUUUGGAGAAGCACGAAUAUAUAUCCCUUCACUGCUCUUUGGCACAGUGGCACUGAGCUUAGAAAUAAGGGUCUGCAGCUCUUUCGUCACAUCACUCAAAACGUCUGCAUCUUGGCUUAGGUAAGUCAGUUCUUUAAGUUGCUGUAAUGUAGCCCUUGUUAUAUUUGCUGCAUGUUUUGCAGUAUCUCGUACGAUUGUCCUUUUUUGUGGAAGUUGUCCCACAGCAACUGGUUGUACAUUUUUGCUGUCUUGGCUACUUGACUCGAUGUUGCAACUUACCUGACUCAAUGGAAUGAAUUUCAACAACUGAGAAGUCGGUCAUAAAAUUUGCUGGCUUCCAUUCAGGAUUCCACUCCCGCAAGACGUGAAGUGCUUCACUUACUUGCUCUUCCGUUUCAUCUUGAACAACAAAAUCUCCUAAAAAAAGUGUUGUAUAUUGCUUAAAAACAAUUGGACUUCACAAUGCACCGUGCACCAGCAGCAGUCAAUUGCCAGCGUGGGAGUUAACAUAAGCAAAUGAUGUUGAAAAUGACCAUAAUAGACUAUAGUUGUUGUUGUCUUUGUAUGGAAUGAAAAACGGGCUAGUAAAAGAAGGAGAUUAAGUUUAUUGUCUUGCUUCACUGUUACUUCUACCUUCAUCUUAGUUUUUUUUUACCUUUCUCUGCUUUUAAAACAUACGGGCAUGUAUGUUCAUUUUUCCUCUAUUUUAUUUUAUUUAGGUAUUUUUUGACAAACAUGUAUGCAUGCGCAUUUUAUAAGAUGCAAAACUGCAAUAAAUACCGACAACUGCGUAUCCGUUGUUGGUUUUUACACAAACAAAGAAGAAAGGAAAGGCAUAGUUGGUGGUUUUGUACGUAGCAUCAAGGAGUGAAAUCUCGUUGCCAUAUUUGACCAUCAGACGUUGUUGCCACUGUUCCUGAUGAACAUAUAAAAGUUUCUGGCUUGGCUCUGCCGUUUCACUUUCUUCCUUCACUGUACACAUGCGUAAGUGAAACUUUGAUGUGGGGUUUUUGCUUGUCCAUUCGUCAAUCAUUUUUUGCAAAUUCACCUGAUCCAGUUUGCUAAGUUUUUGUUUGUUGGUAGCUGAGUAGAUAUGAUUGAUGAUGUCUGUGCUGGUUGGAUAAAAUGACCGGUUAAGUGUUGAGGGCCUUGGACUUUUAUCAUCUUGGAACAAUAUGUUUUCCACAUGGUAGUACGCCGUAUUGCCGUUAGAGUUUGAUGAAUGUUUAAAAUCAGUAUGCCUCACCUGCUGCAACAAGCUCGUGGAUUUUCUCUAUUAUAAGCGGAUGGACCCCAUUGGAAAUGCCGCACACUUCUCCGUGUGGGUGGUUUGUGUGUGCUUGCUGGUUUGGAACUUUGACAAAAAACCUCUUUAUUUUUUUAAUUUGCGCUUCAUUGUGUUCUUUAUCGAUUUUUAACUUUUUCAAGAGCGAUGGUUUAAUGACUCGUUCCAUCUACAAUAAUUUGGACACAACGCAAUUAGUGUUGAGGCUGGCUUUAAGAUGAUUAGUUCCUUUAAGCAACGUCAUAUACAUUGUUAAAAAUUUGUUGAGUAAAUUUGAUUUUUCUUUGUUUAACUCCCACAGUCUCACCUGGUGUUUGUUGUUACAGGAUGUUGGAACGAUGUAGUCUGGAUACACGGUUAACUCCCUAACAGUGAUCUGGGCCUUACACCCAAGCUUUUUAGUUGGCUGCACUCGAAAUCGUCUUUUUUGGCCAGUUGGAUGGCCGUUGAUUCCCUAUAGUAUAGGUUGAAGUGUACUGCAGUUAAUGUUGAAAAUGAUUUGUUCAAAAGUAUAUUAUCUAUUAUAAUUACGUUAUAGGUGUGGUUCGAGUUUAUAGAGUUUAAUAUUUCAGGUUUCAAGACUACGUACCUCCUCAGAAUCUCUAUUUGUCGGCCUGCAGGGUCCAUAAAUACACUCUAGUAACCGUAUUCCAUUGAUACAAAACGGAGUGCCAAAAAAUGGUAUGGAUAGAUCACCAACAUUGCUGCUCCAUCUCAAACUACCUUUAAUAACAACAAUUAUUACAAAAAAUGUUGAUAAUUUUAUUUAUAAUUAUAUAUUUACAACAACUGAUGAGUAACGUGAGUUAUGAACAAAAUUUAUAGUGAGUGAGAAGUGGAACUUUCGUCGAAACAAUACAAUUUUUCACGUGUAAAAUACUAUAAGUGCAAUACGUCGUAUCAGUUUAA
Molecule: long non-coding RNA, 3119 nt
Organism: Xenia sp. Carnegie-2017
Lineage: Eukaryota; Metazoa; Cnidaria; Anthozoa; Malacalcyonacea; Xeniidae
Exons: 4
Source: RefSeq, a predicted model, not a curated record